ACCCUCCUACGGGGGGCAGCAGUGAGGAAUAUUGGUCAAUGGGCGGAAGCCUGAACCAGCCACGUCGCGUGAGGGAAUAAGGCCCUACGGGUCGUAAACCUCUUUUGCCGGGGAGCAAGGGCCGGGACGCGUCCCCGCCCGGAGAGUACCCGGAGAAAAAGCAUCGGCUAACUCCGUGCCAGCAGCCGCGGUAAUACGGAGGAUGCGAGCGUUAUCCGGAAUUAUUGGGUUUAAAGGGUGCGUAGGCGGUCUUUUAAGUCAGCGGUAAAAAU
Molecule: ribosomal RNA, 272 nt
Filed under: uncultured bacterium
Lineage: Bacteria
Description: partial 16S ribosomal RNA
Rfam family: Bacterial small subunit ribosomal RNA
Source: RNAcentral